Molecule: long non-coding RNA, 22263 nt
Filed under: Solanum tuberosum (potato)
Lineage: Eukaryota; Viridiplantae; Streptophyta; Magnoliopsida; Solanales; Solanaceae
Description: long non-coding RNA (STUB_LNC011952)
Source: RNAcentral
UCAUCUUGAGGUUUUGGAUAUGCAACACAACAAUCUUUCUGGAACUCUUCCAAUGACUUUUAGAGCUGGAGCAUUUAGAAGCUUCAACUUGCAUGGCAAUAAAAUAAAGGGGAAAAUUCCCCAAUCUUUUGGCCAAUUGUAAAGAGAUGCAAGUUCUUGAUUUAGGAGACAAUCACCUCAACGCCUCAACGACACAUUCCCAAUGUGGUUGGGAACUCUUCCUAAGUUGAGAGUUUUAAGCUUGAGAUCGAAUAAGUUGCAUGGACCGAUUAGAACUUUAGGAAGUGAAAACAUUUUUAAUGAGCUUCGAAUGUUGGAUAUCUCUUCCAAUGCCUUCACGGAAAACUUACCGAUGAGUCUGUUUCAACAUUUAAAAGCCAUGAGGGCAAUUGAUCAAACGAUAAAUGCAGCAAGUGAGGAAGGAGAUGAAUAUUACCAAGACACGGUAACUCUUGUAACGAAGGGAUUGGAGCUUGAAGUUGUGAAAAUCCUUUUUUUGUACACCACUAUUGAUCUUUCAAACAAUAAAUUUGAAGGACAUAUUCCAAGUAUUAUGGGAGAUCUCAUUGCACUCCGUGUGCUGAAUUUAUCUCAUAAUGGAUUGGAAGGUCAUAUACCCUCAUCAGUUGGAAGUUUAUCUUUGGUUGAAUCAUUGGACCUGUCAAGUAACCAUCUUGUAGGAGAGAUACCAGCACAAUUUGCUUCUCUUACAUCUCUUGAAGUCAUCAAUCUUUCCUACAAUCAUCUUGAAGGGUGCAUUCCUCAAGGAACUCAACUUCAGACCUUUGAGAGCAAUGCAUAUGAAGGUAAUGAUGGAUUACGUGGAUUACCUGUUUCAAAAGGCUGUGGUAGUUAUGAUAAUGAUUCAGAAUCAGAGAAAAUUGAUACCGGAUCUGAGCUAGAUAAAGAAAGUGACUUUGAAUUUCUGAAUGAUUUUUGGAAAGCUGCUCUUAUGGGGUAUGGAAGUGGAGUAUGUAUUGGAUUAUCGAUAAUAUAUUUCAUGUUCUCAACUGGAAAUCCGAGAUGGCUUGCAAGAAUCAUUGUAGAACUGGAACACAAAAUAAUGAUGGGAAGGAGAAAGAAGCGGCAAAGGAAAAGGCAAAGGCAAUACAGAAGGCAAAGGCAAAGCCGGACUUAACAACUUUUUUUCAAAUUGUAAUUUCAUUUUAGCAUAAAAUAAAAGACUUAACUUUCUUUGUGUAAAUAUAAAAAAUCAGACAGUAAAUAAACAAAUUCAAACAUGCAGGUAGUUGGAGAAGAAUUUGUUGGAAUGCUCAUCAGAGAUGCAAUAAUAUCAGAAACAGCAGCUUAUGGUUUAUAACUUUAGGAAAUGUAAUAUUAUGAAUAUUGAUGAUUUAUUGUGUGUAAAUUUUCCAUUUUUCCAAAAAAAAGAAUAUAAAUAUUGUGUGUGUCCCUGAGGAGACAUUCGAUUGAAAAAAAUGAAGUGUAUUCUUUCGUUAUGGUGAUAUUUCAUGUAGGAAAAGUGAAACAACUGAUAGUUAAGUUGUGUUUCGAUAAAUAGUUGAUGAAAAAUGGGUUUCCAUUGUGCAUUUUUUCGUUGUGUUCCCAUUGUGCAUUUUUUCGUUGUGUUCCCAUUGCGCAUUUUUUUCUACCAACUCAAUAGUCUUUCUGUUGAUCAAAAGAGAGAGAGCAUUCAGAGAAGCUGAAUUGACGGAGGAAGAUAUUUUGCGUGCAACCGAGGGAAAGAGGAUUAACAAGGAAAAAAAACGAAUCUCCCACAAUCGUCUCCAAGGAUGCAUCCCUCAAAGACCUCGAUUUCAUACCAUUAAGGGAAAUUCAUAUGAAGGUAAUGAUAAGUUGCGUGGAUUCCCAGUUUCGAAAGGUUGUGGCAGUGAUCAAUUAUCAGAGGCAAGUUAUACCAUAUCUGUGCUUGAAGAUCUAGAAAGCAAUACUGAAUUUCUCAAUACUAUGUAUUGGAUUAUAUGUAGUAUGUUUCAUGAUUUCAACUGGAAAUCCGAAAUGGCUCGCAAGAAUCAUUGAAGAACUGGAACACAAAAUUAGUAGUGUAUUGAAUGAAAAACCGUCGGGAUCACAUAUCACCCAAAAUCCAUGGACAUAGCACACAAAAAAAGGAAAAAUCGGUAUUUCUCGUUCAGACCUCGUUUGAACUUUUAAAUCUCGACAUUUGAACCUCUGAACUAACGCAUGCCAUUAAAUAGGUCGUCACGGACGCCCACAAAAAAUUUCGACCAAAAAACCGUCGGAAUCACAUAUCACCAAAAUUCAUGGACUAUAGCACAUUAAAAAUGAAAAAAGGGUAUUUCUCAUUCCAGACCUCGUUUAAACUUGAAAAUUUCAAUAUUUUUCACUCUGGACCAACGCACGUCAUUAAUAAAGUCGUCACAGACGCCCAAGAAAAAUUUAUCUGAGAUUUUUUUAGUCUGUAUAGUCCAUUAAGUACACCACUCUGAACUUUGGAAUGUGUUUUUAAGUUGUAUUUCUUGUGUAAGUUGCAUUUGCAGAAUGAGAUUUGCUGCUUCCGUUUGCUGAGGUUUGUGAGUUAAGUGUUACGAAGAGUAAGUUUAGUAUUGACCAUCGGUAUGAAUAACCUCAAAAUUUUGUGAUGAUGGUAAUCGGUAGAUCAGAAAGUAACACAUCAUAUGGUUCUAUUUGAAGAAGAAAACUAAAAAGAUGAUUCUCUAGUCUUUUGUAAGUUUGUUUUCUUUUUGAGAGAAUUUAUUUUUUGUAUGAUGUAAUGUUUACUUGAAAAAAGAUGUAGAUGUGUGUAGCACAUGGAUAGAAAUAAAAAGGCAAAAACAUAACAACCCAAAUUUGACAAAAGAAUGACAAUUUUCUCUGAUAUAUAACAGAAAAAGUGUACGAAUACGACUAUAAGAGAAAGAGAGAGAUUUAUUGUUCUAACACUGGAUAUGGUAAAUGUGAUAGCACAACAAUCCCACAAUCCACUGCAAUAGAUUAGAGAGUACCUUCACGCAAAGAGGUAACAUGAUCAAAUGAUCUGAGAAACAAAAAGUUGUUUCCUGAAUGAAAACAUGUUUAUUUAACUUCACUAGAACUUCAAGGAAUGAAAACACGUUUCCUGAACUUCGAAUCACUGAUCUCUUUCUUCCACUCUUUUUCCAUUGGGGAAUUUGAGAAACUUGCGAGAUCUUUCUCUCAAUGACAGGAAAUUCCUUCAUCUAUGACAUCGCUGACAUUCCUGUAUUUGUCGAGAAACAACUUGAAAGGAAAAAAUCUGCAAUGCUUUGGUAGUAUCACUGCCCUCCAGUUUGUGAUGAUGUCACAUAAUAAUCUCAGUGGAGAGCUCCCUUCGUCUAUUUGAAAUUUAACAUCACUGCAAAUUCUAGAUAUGGGUAGGAACAAUCUAAAGGAAGCAAUAUCCACAAUGUUUUGGCAAUAUGAGUAGUCAUCUUGAGGUUCUGGAUAUGCAACCCAGCAAUCUUUCAGGGACUCUUCCAAUGACUUUUAGAGCCGGAACAUUUAGAAGCUUCUAAAGGGGAAAAUUCCUUAAUCUUUGGCCAAUUGCAAAGAGAUGCAAGUUCUGGAUUUAAAUGAUAAUCAGCUCAACGACACAUUCCCGAUGUGGUUGGGAACUCUUCCUGAAUUGAGAGUUUUAAGCUUGAGAUCGAAUAAGUUGCAUGGAGCCCUUAGAACCUUAGGAAGUGAAAAUAUGUUUCUUGCGCUUCAAUUUGGCAGGUUCUCGAGCUUGACACAUCUUGAUCUCUCAGGUCAAGUUCCUUCUGAAAUGUCUCAUCUUUUAUCAGAAAAAAAUUUAUAUGAUAUGGAAAUAAUUCUCUUUGAUUUUCUUUCUUAGAACCUAUAAUUAUUCUUACUUCGCAUCCGCCUCUGAACACAGGUCGUGGGUAAACAUUUCUUUCCGAAUUCGAAGAGUCUCUUGAUUGGAAACAAAAUAUAUUUAACUCAAAAGUGCUUCUGUUGAUUGAAAUAAGCUGACAAAAAAAAAACAAUUUGUUUUUCUUUAGACAAUUACAAAAGAAUAAGACUUAUUUGAAAGUUCUGUUUUCCUACUUAUUUGGUUUCUUAUGCUAGACCUGAGAAACAACAAAAACUUCCAACAAAAUAGACUUCUUCUUGACUUAAAAUAUUUUCAUCAACAUAUAAGCUUUGAAUUGAUUUCGAUGAAGGAACCAGUCCUUGUUUGGCACUAAUUCUAAAUAUGAUGUCGAUUCAGCUCUCACAAAAGACAAUUUAUUUUCUUUAGACAAAUACAAAACACGGCCGAUUUGAAAGUAAUGUUGUCCUACUUAUUUGUCUUCUUAUACUUGACUAGACCAAUAAUGCAGCCAGUUCAAAAUAUCAUAACUAUAUAUGAUGUUUCAAGUUUCAAAUUAUUCAAAAAGAAAGAGUCCUUGCUAAAUAUAUAUCAGCCUAUAUAUAUUUCUGUAGCCUGUUCUUGAUUUUCACUAUCAACUUUAAACUCAUUGAUGCUAAACAUGGGCUACGGGCAAUUCUCAUUUUUGCUCUUUGUCUGUUUCUGUCAGCUUUCUUUUUCUUCAUCCAUACCUCAUCUGUGCCGCAAAGAUCAAAGCUCCGCUCUUUUAAAAUUCAAGAAAACUCUUACUGUUGAUCCCUCAUUAGUUUUGUGUAAUUUCUACUAUUAUACAAGUUCAUGGAAUAUGAGCAUAGAUUGCUGCUCGUGGGGUGGAGUGAUAUGCGAUGAGAUGACUGGCCAUGUCAUUGAACUUGAUCUCAGUUGCAACAGUCUUGUAGGGAAGAUUGAUUCCAAUAGCAGCCUAUUCCAACUCUCUCAUCUCCAAAGGCUUGAUCUGUCUUUCAAUAACUUCUCCAAUUCUCAUAUCUCCCCUGAAUUCGGCAAGUUUUCGAGCUUGAAGCAUCUUGAUCUUUCUGACUCCUAAUCUUUACAAGUUACAAUCUCUUCUUCUCUCAACAUCUUAUGACACUGUGCCAAAACUCGCAACCUGUGAUUUUAGGUUGCUCCUUCAGAAUUUGACCCUAUUACGAGUGCUUGAUCUUAGAGGUGUAAGCAUCUCUUCCGCCAUUACUCUUAAUUUGUCAUCUCAUUUAACAACUCUCGUGCUUAGGCAAUCAGAGUUGUAUGGAGUAAUACCUGAGAGUAUUUUUCACCUGCCCAAACUGAAAAUACUUGACUUAUCCAGCAAUUAUCAGCUCAGUGGUUAUUUCCCAAAGACCAAAUGGAACAGCAGCGCAUCUCUCACAGAUUUAAAUCUCCAAGGAGUGAAUUUUUCUGGUAAUUUGCCUGAGUCUCUUGGUUAUCUAACGUCAGUGAAAACUUUGUUUCUUGUUCUCUGCAAUAUCUGGGGGACUAUUCCUGAAUCUCUUUCGAAUCUCACUCGCAUAGAGUAUUUGUUCCUUGCAGGUAACUUCCUCAAUGGAACAAUACCAUCAUCGAUAUUAUCCCUUCCAACACUAACUGAUUUAGAAUUGAGUAAUAACCAUUUUUCUGGUCAGCUUGAGGAUAUCAAGUCCAAUUCACUAUUAUCUAUUGAUCUAGGCAAUAAUCAGCUGCAAGGCCAUCUUCCCGAGUCAAUUCAAAACCUUGUGAACCUCACAACUCUUGAUCUUUCUUUCAAUAAUUUUAGUGGUAGUGUGGAUGUCAGCUUCUUUUCAAACCUCAAACAUCUUUCAUCUCUUGGUAAUUCAUAUAAUAGUAUCUCAUUCACAAAUGAAAACAAAGUUAAUUUUACUUUGCCUGAAUCACUUGUGUACUUGCAGUUGGCUGCCUGUGAAGUGAAAGAAUUGGAGUUUCUAAGAUCCGCAAAGAAGCUUGAGCACUUGGAUCUUUCUAAUAAUAAGCUUCAAGGAAGAUUUCCAGAUUGGGCAUCAUCUAACUGGAUGUUUUCAUUGAACAGUCUUAAUCUAUCCCACAACAUGCUGACAAGUGUGGACUUAACUCCUUUUCAAGCUCUAAAAACAAUUGAUUUGCGAUCCAAUUCUCUUCAAGGGUCCCUAUCUAUGCCACCAAAAUUCCACAACAUACUUCUUCAUAUCAGAAAAUAAUCUUAGUGGAGAAAUUCCUUCAUCUAUUUACAACUUCACAUCAUUGGUAAUGCUAGAUUUGGCGAGAAACAACUUGAAGGGAGCAUUUCUGCAAUGUUUGGGUAAUAUCAGUAGCCUCCAGGUUCUGGAUAUGCACCACAACAGUCUUACAGGGACUAUUCCAACAACUUUUAGAUUUGGAAGUUCUUUGAGAAGCCUCAACUUGCACGGCAAUAAACUAGAGGGGAAAAUUCCCCAAUCUUUGGCCAAUUGCAAAGAGUUGCAUGUUCUUGAUUUAGGAGAUAAUCAUCUCAUUGAUAUAUUCCCGAUGUGGUUGGGAACUCUUUCAAAGCUGCAAGUUUUAAGCUUGAGAUCCAAUGAAUUGCAUGGGUCCAUUAGAACUCCAACGAUUGAAAACAUAUUUCCUAAUCUUCGAAUGUUAGAUCUCUCUUCCAAUGCCUUCACCGAAAACUUACCAACGGGUUUGUUUCAACAUUUGAAAGCCAUGAGGACAAUUGAUCAAACUAUGAACGCACCACAUUAUGAAGGAAAUAUUACCAAGACUCGGUAGCUGUCGUAUCUAAGGGAUUUGAGCGUGAAAUUGUGAGAAUCUUGUAUUUGUACACCGUUCUCGAUCUUUCAAGUAAUAAAUUUGGAGGGCAGAUUCCAUGUAUCAUGGGGGAACUCAUUGCAGUUCACAUAUUGAAUAUAUCACAUAAUGGAUUGGAAGGUCAUAUACCGUCAUCACUUGGAAGUUUAUCUUUGGUUGAAUCAUUGGACCUGUCAAGUAACCAUCUUGUAGGAAAUAUACCAGCACAAUUUGCUUCUCUUACAUCUCUUGAAGUUUUCAACCUACAAUCAUCUCGAAGGGUGCAUUCCUCAAGGAAAUCAAUUUCAGACCUUUGAGAACAAUUCAUAUGAAAGUAAUGAUGGAUUACGUGGAUUCCCACUUUCAAAAGGCUGUGGUGAUGAUUCAGUAUCAGAGACAAAUGAUACCGUUUCUGGACUAGACGAUGAAGAAAGCAAUUCUGAAUUUCUGAAUGAUUUUUGGAAAGGUGCUCUUAUGGGCUACGGGAGUGGACUAUGUAUUGGACUAUCCAAAAUAUAUUUCAUGAUUUCAACUGGAAAACCAAUGUGUCUUGCAAGAAUCAUUGUAGAGCUGGAGCACAAAAUAAUGAUGGGAAGGAGAAAGAAGCAGCGAAGGCAAAGGAAUUACAGAAAAAGAAAUAAUCAGUUAUGAUGUCACAGUGGCGAGAUUGAUAAUGAACUAUUUUAUUCGGAAUGGCAAGUAACUGGUUGCAAUAAGCAACUGAUAAUAUCGUUCAGGACUGUUUUAUCUUUUAAAUACGUAUGUGGGAUGAGUUGAUCGUUUCUUCACCUAUUCUUGUUGUUGUUUCUGCACUUGUUUGUGAUGGUUUUCCUUUGAGAGUAAUGGCUUCGUAAUCUGUAUUACCUAUUGAGUACACUGUACUGAACUUCUGGAAUGUGUUUCUUAAGUUGCAUUUCUUGUGUAAGUGCAGAAAGGGAUUUGCUGCUUACGCCAUAUGCCAGACGUCCGCUAGCCGAGGUUUGUACUAGACGUACAUAAAUCACAUACGACGUCAGGUAAAAGUGCACAUUUUGAGAAAAAAAAAAUCAAGAUACCCAUUCUUAAAAAUGACAUUAUUACUAUUUGAGGGGUAUAGGAAUAGUUUAGGGGAAAAAUUCACCCUUUUUCACCUAAGCUCUGCCCCUGGUUUCAGUGAUUUGGUAUUUUCAGGGGAAUAACUCAUAGUUUAAUGGUUUUAUUGUUACAAAAACAGUUACAAAGAGCAAGUUUGAUAAAUAGCUCGUAUUGUUAUGAAGAGUUAAUUUAGAAAUGACCAUCGGUGAAAUUAUCCUCAAAAUUUUGUGAUGAAGGUAAAUGAGAAAGUAACACAACACACAAUUCUAUUUUAAUAACAAAACUAAAAAAGAUGAUUCUCUAUCCUUUUUAAGUUUGUUUUCCUUUUUAGGGAAUUUAUUUUCUGUAUGAUAGAUGUGUAACACAUGGAUUAGAAUUACAUAUGAACAGACAGAAAUGGUUUAAGUGUGAAUGAGAGAAAGAGCAGCCAACAACAUUUGGAGAAAACACGUUUCCGUUUGGUCUUCAAUGAUAAAUUUCAUACAAUAUAAAAUCCUAUAGACCCUCCACAAUAAGUUCAUUGAAAACCCAAAAUAAUAAACUCAAAAUAUGAUGAUGAUUCCAAGCAAAAUAUUCUCUCUACUUCAGUUUUUCACUCUUUUAUAUCUCCUUACAGUUACUUUUGCUUCCAUCGAAGAAGCAACUGCCCUCUUGAAAUGGAAAACAACUUUUAAGAACCGGGAUAAUUUCUUAUUGGCUUCAUGGAAGCCAAGUUCUAAUGCAUGCAGGGACUGGUACGGAGUUAUAUGCUUUAACGGUAAGGUAAACAAGUUGAAUAUUAGAAAUACUAGUGUCAUUGGUACACUUGAUGAUUUUCCAUUUUCAUCUCUCCCUUUUCUUGAGUAUCUUGAUCUUAGCAUGAACCAUUUCUCUGGCACCAUUCCACCUGAAAUUGGUAAACUCACUAAUCUUAUCUAUCUUGAUUUGUCGAGUAAUCAGAUUUCAGGCACAGUACCACCGCAAAUCGGCUCACUAGCCAAGCUUCAGAUCCUCCAUAUCAUUGAAAACCAUUUAAAUAGUUUUAUUCCUGAAGAAAUAGGUCAUCUAAAGUCUCUUACUGAGCUAGAUUUGAGUUCUAACGCACUUAAUGGUUCUAUUCCAACUUCAUUGGGAAAUUUGAACAGCUUGUCUCGUUUGAAUCUUUAUAAAAAUAACCUUUCUGGCUCCAUUCCUGCAGAAAUAGGUUACCUAAGGUUUCUUACCGAUCUACGUUUGAACGAUAACAUUCUUAAUGGUUCUAUUCCUGCUUCAUUGGGGAAUUUGAACAACUUGACUAUUCUGCAUCUUCAUGAUAAUCACCUUUCUGGCCCUAUCCCUGCAGAAAUAGGUUACCUAAGGUCUCUUGUUGGGUUAAGUUUGAAGAAUAACUCUCUUGAUGGUUCUAUUCCUGCUUCAUUGGGGAAUUUGAACAACUUGUCGGUCUUGUAUCUUAAUGGUAAUCACCUUUCUGGCCCUAUUCCUGAAGAAAUAGGUCAUCUAAAGUCUCUUACUGAGCUAGAUUUGAGUUCUAACGCACUUAAUGGUUCUAUUCCAACUUCAUUGGGAAAUUUGAACAGCUUGUCUCGUUUGAAUCUUUAUAAAAAUAACCUUUCUGGCUCCAUUCCUGCAGAAAUAGGUUACCUAAGGUCUCUUGUUGGGUUAAGUUUGAAGAAUAACUCUCUUGAUGGUUCUAUUCCUGCUUCAUUGGGGAAUUUGAACAACUUGUCGGUCUUGUAUCUUAAUGGUAAUCACCUUUCUGGCCCUAUUCCUGAAGAAAUAGGUUAUCUAAGGUUUCUUUUCUGAACUACAAUUGUACGAUAACUCUCUUAAUGGUUCUAUUCCUGCUUCAUUGGGGAAUUUGAACAACUUGUCGGUCUUGUAUCUUAAUGGUAAUCACCUUUCUGGCCCUAUCCCUGCAGAAAUAGGUUACCUAAGGUCUCUUGUUGGGUUAAGUUUGAAGAAUAACUCUCUUGAUGGUUCUAUUCCUGCUUCAUUGGGGAAUUUGAACAACUUGACUAUUCUGCAUCUUCAUGAUAAUCACCUUUCUGGCCCUAUCCCUGCAGAAAUAGGUUACCUAAGGUCUCUUGUUGGGUUAAGUUUGAAGAAUAACUCUCUUGAUGGUUCUAUUCCUGCUUCAUUGGGGAAUUUGAACAACUUGUCGGUCUUGUAUCUUAAUGGUAAUCACCUUUCUGGCCCUAUUCCUGAAGAAAUAGGUCAUCUAAAGUCUCUUACUGAGCUAGAUUUGAGUUCUAACGCACUUAAUGGUUCUAUUCCAACUUCAUUGGGAAAUUUGAACAGCUUGUCUCGUUUGAAUCUUUAUAAAAAUAACCUUUCUGGCUCCAUUCCUGCAGAAAUAGGUUACCUAAGGUCUCUUGUUGGGUUAAGUUUGAAGAAUAACUCUCUUGAUGGUUCUAUUCCUGCUUCAUUGGGGAAUUUGAACAACUUGUCGGUCUUGUAUCUUAAUGGUAAUCACCUUUCUGGCCCUAUCCCUGAAGAAAUAGGUUAUCUAAGGUUUCUUUCUGAACUACAAUUGUACGAUAACUCUCUUAAUGGUUCUAUUCCUGCUUCAUUGGGGAAUUUGAACAACUUGACUAUUCUGCAUCUUCAUGAUAAUCACCUUUCUGGCCCUAUUCCUGAAGAAAUAGGUUAUCUAAGGUUUCUUUCUGAACUACAAUUGUACGAUAACUCUCUUAAUGGUUCUAUUCCUGCUUCAUUGGGGAAUUUGAACAACUUGUCGGUCUUGUAUCUUAAUGGUAAUCACCUUUCUGGCCCUAUCCCUGAAGAAAUAGGUUAUCUAAGGUUUCUUACUGAUCUACAGUUGUACAAUAACUCUCUUAAUGGUUCUAUUCCUGCUUCAUUGGGGAAUUUGAGAAACUUGCAUGUUCUGUCUCUCCAUGAAAACAAUCUGAUUGAGGAAAUUCCUUCAUCUAUUUGCAAUUUAACAUCACUGGUAGUCCUGUAUUUGUCGAGAAACAACUUGAAAGGAAAAAAUCUGCAAUGCUUGGGUAAUAUCAGUGCCCUCCAGUAUGUGAUAAUGUCACAUAAUAGUCUCAGUGGAGAGCUCCAUCCGUCUAUUUGCAAUUUAACAUCACUGCAAAUUCUAGAUUUGGGUAGAAACAAUCUAACCGGAGAAAUUCCGCAAUGUUUGUUGUGCCGUAAUUUUCCUAUUUUCUAGAAAAAUCACUUUUUGAAAUGUUCUAAGUAUAAAAUAAUUUGAAAAAUACUUAGAAAGAGUCGCCACUUAAUUUUUUAAAGAAAUUAAGAAAACUUAUAAAUUUCAAAGAUUUAAACAGAAAAAAUCAUUUGAAAAUACCAAAGAAGGUUCGGGGUUCAAUUUACACUUCGAGAAGGGUUUAAGCAUUCGAAGUGUCCGCUAACAUGCGGUUGACCUGCGACUUGACUAAAAUAUAUUUUGACUAUUUUUUAGAAAAGGUUAUUUAACAUAAAAAGGAAUAACUUACAAUAUUUGGUUAAGAAAAUAAUUAAAUAAAUGACAUAUUUUAUUAUUUUAUUUUUUAGAGAAAAAAGAUCCAAAAUAGAACAUUUGACUCGAAAUACAAGUCAUUAGAAUUUUAAUAAAACUAGAUUAAUUAGAAUUUAUUUAAUUCAUUUUUUUUAACCAAUUUAAUAAAUUAAGGCAUAAAAAUUAUUUUUUAAUUAAUUGACUACCCCUUUUUGAGAAAAUGACUAAGUAAGUAGUUAUAAUAAUAAUUUACAUUAUUAGAUUAACUUUCAAAAAAUAUAGUUAAAUAACGAAUAAUUUUUUAAUUUUUUUUUUGGAAAAUUGGGUCUCAAUUGAAACAACUUGGUCAAUUAGGAUUUUAACAAAAAACUAGAUUAAUUAAAAAUUUAUUUAUGUCAUAUUUUAGAAAUAAUAAUUCGAACCAACUUGGUAGACAAACCAAGACAUUAUUUUAAUCUAAUUAAAGAUGAGUGAAAGUUUUGACUAAAAAUAAAAUAAAAUAUUUGAAUAAGUAUAAGAGUUGAUAAAAUGAAUUAUUUUUAAAGAAACUAACAUAAAGAAUAUGGUUCAUCUUUUGGGGAAUUCAACUAAGUUAAUUAAAAAUUCUAAAGUUAGAGUUAAACAACAAAUAAUGAGUAAUCGCAAUUAAAUAAUUGAAGCGUAAGGGAGAAAUUGAAUUUGGGCCUUUCUUGGGCCAAAUUCGCUACUGUUUUUGGGAAUUUUACUCAAUCCCGUUUUUGUAUAUAUUGUUUGUAUAUUAGUGUAUAUGAGCAUAUAUAUUAGCUCUUUUCAUGUAUCUCUUGCUUCCGAAUGUCUAUAUGUCNNNNNNNNNNNNNNNNNNNNNNNNNNNNNNNNNNNNNNNNNNNNNNNNNNNNNNNNNNNNNNNNNNNNNNNNNNNNNNNNNNNNNNNNNNNNNNNNNNNNNNNNNNNNNNNNNNNNNNNNNNNNNNNNNNNNNNNNNNNNNNNNNNNNNNNNNNNNNNNNNNNNNNNNNNNNNNNNNNNNNNNNNNNNNNNNNNNNNNNNNNNNNNNNNNNNNNNNNNNNNNNNNNNNNNNNNNNNNNNNNNNNNNNNNNNNNNNNNNNNNNNNNNNNNNNNNNNNNNNNNNNNNNNNNNNNNNNNNNNNNNNNNNNNNNNNNNNNNNNNNNNNNNNNNNNNNNNNNNNNNNNNNNNNNNNNNNNNNNNNNNNNNNNNNNNNNNNNNNNNNNNNNNNNNNNNNNNNNNNNNNNNNNNNNNNNNNNNNNNNNNNNNNNNNNNNNNNNNNNNNNNNNNNNNNNNNNNNNNNNNNNNNNNNNNNNNNNNNNNNNNNNNNNNNNNNNNNNNNNNNNNNNNNNNNNNNNNNNNNNNNNNNNNNNNNNNNNNNNNNNNNNNNNNNNNNNNNNNNNNNNNNNNNNNNNNNNNNNNUUUGCACAGUAAACUGCAAAUGAUUGAAUAUUAUGCUUUUUACAAUAAAAAGGGGAUUAGCAACAUGCCUCUUAUAGUAAAACGAAUAUAUUUCAUGGAAUAAAUAAGUUAGCAAAUAAUGCUAACAAUUUGGGAAGAGACAAGAACUAGAAGUAAACCAAAAGUUAGAAGGAAACAACAUCUCCAAAUUUAUACAAACUCCACUGUAAAUGGCGAACAACUCUUGGUAAAAAUUUUGUUUUUUAUUUUUUAUUUUUUAGAUAAAAUAAAGGUCAAUACUUGAUUCAAACAUAUCAUAUUAGGUAGUGAGAUAACAAAAAACCUCAUGAGGUAAAAAAAAAAAAAAAAAAAAAAAAAAAAAAAGAAAAAAAAGAAAAGACAGCCCAAAAAUUACAAGUCGUGACCCAAAAUAUUGAAAUUUCAAUCUUAGCAUGAUUCAUGGUGAAAAUAACAGAAAGAUGGAGCAGUAAACGGACACGAAAUGAACACUCGAGAGGCCUGAAAUAAUCAAUUUAUCGACUCAAUCUUAACUUGGUCAAACUAAGCCAGACUCGAAAUAACUUAACUCAACAUAAAAAAGUGACGAAGACUACACAACUAAUACUAUUACGAAUGAGAUUUAAGAGGUACAAGCAACUAAUAUAAGGACUAUAUAUGCUACUUAGUUGAACAUAGAUAGAGCACACACCAUAAGAAAAGGCAGUAAACUACUCAGCUCACACUAUUUAUACUAGCUAACAUAAAUGGAAAUAAGCCCACACAUCAGAUUGCAAAAACUAGCAUUUCGGACUCGAAAAGUUCACAAUUGAGCUAAGUCAUGGCAACCAGGUGAGAUCACUCAAUUUAAUGAGAAGAAACUAACAUGAAGUAAAUAAUCUCAGCUAAAAGGGGUCAUCAAAUUUCAAACAACAAAAAGAAAGAAGAACCGAAAUCAAAAUGACUAAACUAAGCGAGUGGUCAGACCACCUAUAUUGCCGAUUUACAGCCAACGUUCAGCCAUAAUGUGCCCCAAAUCAUAACAUUUGAACACUUACUCAGUCGAGAAUCAAGUAAUCAACACAUCUAAGGAUAAGGAGACAUGGGUUGAAAUUAGAUAUUACCUUUUGAGAGGCAGAGAACUGGGAAUGACGAGCUUCGAAUAACGACGAGCUUCCACCACCACAACAAAGUUUCGUUGGAGAAUCCUCCGAGUUCCCGAAACCAAAAGCCUCGAUUCCAAUGAAGUUAUUUGAGUCGUUCUUAAUAUCCAAAAUAUUUAUGUUUUUCGAGGUGAAAUUAGGUGAUCCUAAAAAAUAUGUUCUCUUUUUCGGUCUCCUCCCUCUCUGCCCUUACAGUGAACAUAAUAGGGGUAUAUAUAGGGGAGAUUCGAAUUAAGGAAGGGGGGAAAAUCGAAUUGAAAAGAUGGGUAAGGAUGAAAUUCAAAAUUUUGAAUUUUCUUCCUCCUUACCCAGGGCAACAGGGAAGGGAUUUAGAAAAUCCCAGAAAAGGAGGAAAAGGGACGUGAGGGUGGUUGGAUUAGGUUGCUAGGGUAUGGGUUCUGCAGGGUAGUUGGAUGAGAUUUUUGCAGCGCGAUUUCUGGGUUUGUUCUGCUUGCUGCAUCGUUUCGCUGAAGAAGAAGAAGCGUGGACCUGUUUGGCACUGCUGUACGCAUUACUGUUGAUGUAUUGUUGAAUGGAAUUGUUGGAUCUUUUCUAUUGUGGGCUGAUGGGUCUUUGUGGGCUAGGGGAAUUGGAAAUGGAGAAUAAUGGGCUGCUGAAACAUAUUUUAUGAAGGCCCAAAUUUUUAAUCCUUCAAUAUAGCUAAAUGAAUUAAGAAAAUAGCCAAAUUGAGUUGAUUUACCGAAUUCGGCUAGAAUUGAAAUACGAUGAAUCAAUACAAUUAAUUUACGAGCUUCUUAGUCUCAAUGACAUAAAAUAAUUAAUUCGAUUGUAAAAUAAUUAAUUUAAUUACAAACUAAUUAACUCGAAAUUAUAACUAUAACUUAGACUAAACCAAAUUAAUAAGAUAUUUAACUAGGAUGUAAAAUCUUUUAUGAUGAUUUUUGAAUAUUUAUAAAAUAACGUGAUUGCAAAAAUAUACAUAUUUAUUAUUAAAAAAUGAUAAAAUUACUUUUAAAAAAAAUAACUUGAAAGUAUUUUGAAUUUUCAUAAAACUCAUUAAUUCAAAAUUAUAGCCAUUCCUAAUAUUAAAAAUAUAAAAUCUUUUUUGAGACGAUUCUCGAAUAAUCAUAAAAUAUACUAAUUAUAUACAUAAUUAUGUAAAACAUAUAUAUUAUCUAAAAAUUAUGAAAAGUGACAAAACUAUUUAAAAAUCUUGCAACUAUAUUAUUAUUUUUUGGAAAUUUUAUAAAACUAAUUAUUUUAAAUUGUUUGAAAUUGGAGAAGCUCGAAAUGAUUAAUUUAUAUUGUGGAGGGUCAAAAUUGGGUGUCCACAAUGUUUUGGAAACAUGAGUGGUCAUCUUGAGGUUCUGGAUAUGCAACACAACAAUCUUUCUGGAACUCUUCCAACAACUUUUAGGGCUGGAACACUUAGAAGCUUCAACUUGCAUGGCAAUAAACUUAAGGGGAAAAUUCCCCAAUCUUUGGUCAAUUGCAAAGAGAUGCAAGUUCUUGAUUUAGGAGAUAAUCACCUCAACGACACAUUCCCAAUGUGGUUGGGAACUCUUCCUAAGUUGAGAGUUUUAAGCUUGAGAUCGAAUAAGUUGCAUGGACCGAUUAGAACUUUAGGAAGUGAAAACAUGUUUAUUGAACUUCGAAUGUUGGAUAUCUCUUCCAAUGCCUUCACAGAAAACUUACCGACGAGUCUGUUUCAACAUUUAAAAGCCAUGAGGACAAUUGAUCAAGCGAUGAAUGCACCAAGUGAUGAAGGAGAUGAAUAUUAUUAUCAAGAUACUGUAGCUGUCGUAUCCAAGGGAUUUGAGCAUGAAAUUGUGAGAAUCCUGUUUUUGUACACCACUAUCGAUCUUUCAAACAACAAAUUUGAAGGAUAUAUUCCAAGUUUUAUGGGAGAUCUCAUUGCACUUUGUGUGCUGAAUUUAUCUCAUAAUGGACUGCAAGGUCAUAUACCGCCAUCACUUGGAAGAUUAUCUUCAGUUGAAUCAUUGGACCUUUCAGGUAACCAUUUUGUAGGAGAGAUACCAGCACAAUUUGCUUCUCUUACUUCUCUUGCAGUCUUAAAUCUCUCCUACAAUCAUCUCGAAGGGUGCAUUCCUCAAGGAAAUCAAUUUCAGACCUUUGAGAACAAUUCAUAUGUAGGUAAUGAUGGAUUAAGUGGAUUUCCACUAUCAAAAGGCUGUGGUAGUGAUGAUAAUGAUUCGGAGACAAAUGAUACCACAUAUGAAAUAGAUGAUGAAGAAAGCGACUCUGAAUUUCUGAAUGAUUUUUGGAAAGCUGCUCUUAUGGGGUAUGGAAGUGGACUGUGUAUUGGGUUAUCGAUAAUAUAUUUCAUGUUCUCAACUGGAAAUCCGAUAUGGCUUGCAAGAAUCAUUGUAGAACUGGAACACAAAAUAAUGAUGGGAAGGAGAAAGAAGCGCAGCAAAGGUAAAGGAGUAACAGAAGAAGCAAAUAAUCGCAUGUAGAAGAGUUAAAACUUCAGGUAUAUAUGCAGUUAAGUUCUAGUUUGAGCUUUAGAUUAUUGCAGCUAACUAUAUCUGAAUUUUCAUAUUAGUUAUAUCAGAAACUAAUUGAAUGCUCUACAAAGCCCUAUUUUUCUGUCCAAAAUUAGUUGGAAGCUGUGAUCCAGUUAUCUGGUUAGAGGCUUGGUUUAACAAGUGCUUCAAGUGUGAACCAACAGAUAAUUAGUUUUAGAGCAAAAUUCGCCGGACAUAAUAACUUUUUUUCAAAUUGUAAUUUCAUUUUAGCAUAUAAUAAAGACUUGACUUUCUUUGUGUAAAUAUAAACAUCAGACAGUAAAUAAACAAAUUCAAACAUGCAGGUGGUUGGAGAAGAAUUUGUUGGAAUGCUCAUCAGAGAUACAAUAAUUAAUAUCAGAAACUGCAGCUUAUGGUUUAUAAGUAGGCUUUUUAUUCUUCCUUUAUUAACUUUAGGAAAUGUAAUACUAUGAUAUAUCAAGUUAUGUAAUGUUUUAAUGUAUUCAAUGAAAUAUGAUGUGUAGAUUUUCCAUUGUACCAAAAAAGAAAAUAAACAAUUUGUUGGAAUGCUCAUCAGAGAUGCAAUAUUAUCAGAAACUUCAGGUUUUGGUUUAUAAGUAGACUUUUUUAUUCUUCCAUUAUUAACUUUAUAUGAAGGUAAUGAUGAAUUGCGUGGAUUCCCAGUUUCGAAAGGUUGUGGCAGUGAUCUAUUAUCAGAGGCAAGUUAUAUAUAUAGCAUAUCUGUGCUUGAAGUUCAAGAAAGCAAUACUGAAUUUCUCUAUAUUUUUUUGAAAAGCUGCUCAAUUAUAAGCUAUGAAAUUGGACUAUAUGUGGUAUGUUUCAUGGUUUCAUGGUUUCAACUGAAUAUCCGAAAUGGCUCGCAAGAAUCAUUGAAGAAUUGGAACACAAAAUUAUUAUGCAGAGCAAAGAAGAAGAUUAAGCAAAUUAAUGUAUUCAAUGAAGAAGUUUAUGCAUUUCUUUUUAAUCUUGUUUUCUUUUUGAGGGAAUUUAUUUUCUAUAUGAUAGUCUUUUUUACUUGAAAAAUGAUGUGUAACACAUGGAUAAAAAAGAAAGACAAAAACAAAAAAGCAAAAAAAUUAACAUGACAAUGACAAAUUUUGUCUAAUAAAAUAUGAUCAGACAAAGUGUGAAUAAGACUAUAAAGAAUAAAAUAUGAUGAUUAUUUCAACAACCAAAAUAAUUCUUUAUUCUUUUUUACUUGAAAAAUGAUGUGUACCACAUGGAUAAAAAAAGGAAAGAGAAAACAAAAAAGCAAAAAAAUUGACAUGACAACGACAAAUUUUGUCUAAUAAAAUAUGAUCAGACAAAGUGUGAAUAAGACUAUAAAAAAUAAAAUAUGAUGAUUAUUUCAACAACCAAAAUAAUUCUUUAUUGGUUUAAAAUUUAUAUAUUGACUCCGAUAUUAAAAAAUUGGGUCGGUUCUCUUUCUCGAAUGGGUCAAAUUAUUAGGGUGGGUUGUUAAAAAUGGAUAGUAUAUUAUCAAGGGAAAAUGCAUAAUUACCCCCAGCCUAUGCCCAAAAUCCAUGAGAUACACCUAACCUUUACUAAGGUUCUAUUACCCCCCGAACUUAUUUUAUAUAUAAUUUUCUACCCCUUUUCGGCCUACGUGGCACUAUCUUGUGGGCCCAGCGCGUGUUGACAAUUUUUUCAAGGAUAGUGCCACGUUGGCCAAAAUGGGGUAGAAAAUUAUAUAUAAAAUAAGUUCGGGGAGGUAAUAGGACCUUAGUAAAGGUUAGGUGUGUCUCAGGGAUUUGGGGCAUAGGCUGAAGGGGUACUUAUGCAUUUUCCCUAUUAUCAAUAGUUAAGUAAUCAUGUGAGAAAUUAACAAUAUCUGCUAUAUAAAUUUUCAUAACUAGUCAUAUCGCCUUACUUAAAUUCGUUUCAGUCUAAUAAAAAGUACAUUAGAAAUGUUAAUGCAGUGUAGAAAUUUAUUUAUCUAAGAUGGAACAUGUCUACUACAUUAGAGAUAAAAAAUGAGAACCAAACAUAAAUACUCAUAACCAUGUGAUCUUGUCUGAUAACACAACAAAUUAUUUGGUUAAUUAAGUCUCUGUCUGAAUUAAAAUAUUAUUCCAUGCCCUUUUUCUUUUGUUACUUAAUAUAAUUUUCAGCGACUAUAUUGAUAAUCAACUAUAUGUUUUUUUAAAAAUAUAAUGGUAUGAUUUUUAUAUAUUUAUGUACUAUUUGCAUGUCCAAAUAAAAAAGGGAAAAUGCAUAAGUACCCCCCCAGCCUAUGCCCGAAAUCUCAGAGACACACCUAACCUUUACUAAGGUCCUAUUAUCCCCCCGAAGUUAUUUUAUAUGUAAUAUUCUACCCCUUUUUGACCUACGUGGCACUAUCUUGUGGGCCCAGUGCACGUUGACAAAUUUUUCAAGGAUAGUGCCACGUAAGCCGAAAAGGGGUAGAAUAUUAUAGAUAAAUUAAGUUCGGGGGUAAUAGGACCUUAGUAAAGGUUAGGUGUGUCUCUGAGAUUUCGGGCAUAGGCUGGGGGGGUACUUAUGCAUUUUCCCUUUUUUAUUUGGACAUGCAAAUAGUACAUAAAUAUAUAAAAAUCAUACCAUUAUAUUUUAAGAGAAAAAAUAAAAAGAUGAUUAUCUACUCCAUUAAGCUUUUAAUUUUUUUCUUCUGAGGGAAUUUAUUUUGUGUAGAUGUGUAACACAUGUAUAAAAGAAGAAGAAAAAAAUGGAACAACUCAAAUUUGACUUUUGCAUUGACUUGAGAAUGCAUGACAAUAUUUUCUCUGAUAAAAUAUGAACAUAAAGAGAGAGAGAGCAGCCGAAAUUUGGUCUUUAACGAUAAGUUAGGUACAAUAUAAAAUCCUAUGAACCCUCCACAAUUAGUUCAUUGAAAUCCAAAACAUGAUGACCAAAAUAUUCUCUUUACUUCAGUUUUUCACUCUUUUAUAUCUCCUUACAGUUACUUUUGCUUCCGUCGAGGAAGCAACUUCCCUACUGAAAUGGAAAGCAACUUUCAAGAACCAGAACAACUCCUUAUUCGCUUCAUGGACACCAAGUUCUAACUCAUGCAGGGAUUGGUAUGGAGUUAUAUGCUUUAACGGUAGAGUAAACAUGUUGAAUAUUACAAAUACUAGUGUCAUUGGUACACUCGAUGAUUUUCCAUCUUCUUCUCUCCCUUUUCUUGAGUAUCUUGAUCUUAGCAUGAACUAUUUCUCUGGCACCAUUCCACCUGACAUUGGUAAACUCACUAAUCUUAUUUAUCUUGAUUUGUCAAGUAAUCAGAUUUCAGGCAUAGUACCACCGCAAAUCAGCUCAUUAGCCAAGCUUCAGAUCCUCCAUAUGUUUGACAACCAUUUAAAUGGUUUCAUUCCUGAAGAAAUAGGUCAUCUAAAGUCUCUUACUGAGCUAGAUUUGAAUUUUAACACUCUUAAUGGUUCUAUUCCUGCUUCAUUGGGGAAUUUGAACAACUUGACUAUUCUGCAUCUUCAUUGAUAAUCACCUUUCUGGUUCUAUCCCUGAAGAAAUAGGUUACCUAAGGUCUCUUACUGAUCUGCAGUUGUACGAUAACUCUCUUGAUGGUUCUAUUCCUGCUUCAUUUGGGAAUUUGACCAACUUGUCCAUUUUGUAUCUUUAUGAUAAUCAACUUUCUGGCCCUAUUCCUGCAGAAAUAGGUUACCUAAGGUCUCUUACUGAGAUAGAUUUGAGUUCUAACACUCUUGAUGGUUCUAUUCCAACUUCAUUGGGAAAUUUGACCAGCUUGUCCAUUUUGUAUCUUUUUGAUAAUCACCUUUCUGGCCUUAUUCCUGCAGAAAUAGGUUACCUAAGGUCUCUUACUGAUCUGCGGUUGUACAAUAACUCCCUUAAUGGUUCUAUUCCUGCUUCAUUUGGGAAAUUUUGACCAACUUGUCCAUUUUGUAUCUUUAUGAUAAUCAACUUUCUGGCCCUAUUCCUGCAGAAAUAGGUUACCUAAGGUCUCUUACUGAUCUGCAGUUGUACGAUAACUCUCUUGAUGGUUCUAUUCCUGCUUCAUUGGGGAAUUUGAACAACUUGACUAUUCUGCGUCUUGAUGGUAAUCACCUAUUUGGCUUUAUUCCUGAGGAAAUAGGUUACCUAAGGUCUCUUACUGAGAUAGAUUUGAGUUCUAACACUCUUGAUGGUUCUAUUCCAACUUCAUUGGGAAAUUUGACCAGCUUGUCCAUUUUGUAUCUUUUUGAUAAUCACCUUUCUGGCCUUAUUCCUGCAGAAAUAGGUCACCUAAGGUCUCUUACUGAUCUGCGGUUGUACAAUAACUCCCUUAAUGGUUCUAUUCCUGCUUCAUUGGGGAAUUUGAACAACUUGACUAUUCUGCGUCUUGAUGGUAAUCACCUAUUUGGCUUUAUUCCUGAAGAAAUAGGUUACCUAAGGUCUCUUACUGAUCUGCGGUUGUACAAUAACUCCCUUAAUGGUUCUAUUCCUGCUUCAUUGGGGAAUUUGAACAACUUGACUAUUCUGCGUCUUGAUGGUAAUCACCUAUUUGGCUUUAUUCCUGAAGAAAUAGGUUACCUAAGGUCUCUUACUGAUCUGCGGUUGUACAAUAACUCCCUUAAUGGUUCUAUUCCUGCUUCAUUGGGGAAUUUGAACAACUUGACUAUUCUGCGUCUUGAUGGUAAUCACCUAUUUGGCUUUAUUCCUGAAGAAAUAGGUUACCUAAGAUUUCUUACUGAUCUACGUUUGAACGAUAACUUUCUUAAUGGUUCUAUUCCUGCUUCAUUGGGGAAUUUGAACAACUUGACUAUUCUGCGUCUUGAUGGUAAUCACCUAUUUGGCUUUAUUCCUGAAGAAAUAGGUUACCUAAGAUUUCUUACUGAUCUACGUUUGAACGAUAACUUUCUUAAUGGUUCUAUUCCUGCUUCAUUGGGGAAUUUGAACAACUUGACUAUUCUGCGUCUUGAUGGUAAUCACCUAUUUGGCUUUAUUCCUGAAGAAAUAGGUUACCUAAGAUUUCUUACUGAUCUACGUUUGAACGAUAACUUUCUUAAUGGUUCUAUUCCUGCUUCAUUGGGGAAUUUGAACAACUUGACUAUUCUGCGUCUUGAUGGUAAUCACCUAUUUGGCUUUAUUCCUGAAGAAAUAGGUUACCUAAGAUUUCUUACUGAUCUACGUUUGAACGAUAACUUUCUUAAUGGUUCUAUUCCUGCUUCAUUGGGGAAUUUGANNNNNNNNNNNNNNNNNNNNNNNNNNNNNNNNNNNNNNNNUUGAGUUUUAACACUCUUAAUGGUUCUAUUCCUGCUUCAUUGGGGAAUUUGACCAUCUUGUCCAUUUUGUAUCUUGAUGGUAAUCACCUUUCUGGCCCUAUCCCUGAAGAAAUAGGUUACCUAAGGUCUCUUACUGAUCUGCGGUUGUACAAUAACUCUCUUAAUGGUUCUAUUCCUGCUUCAUUGGGGAAUUUGAGAAACUUGCAAGUUCUGUCUCUCAAUGACAACAAUCUGAUUGAGGAAAUUCCUUCAGCUAUUUGCAAUUUAACAUCACUGGUAAUCCUGUAUUUGUCGAGAAACAACUUGAAAGGAAAAAUUCUGCAAUGCUUGGGUAAUAUCAGUGCCCUCCAGUAUAUGAUGAUGUCACAUAAUAAUCUCAAUGGAGAGCUCCCUUCGUCUAUUUGCAAUUUAACAUCACUACAAAUUCUAGAUUUAGGUAGAAACAAUCUAAAGGGAGCGAUUCCACAAUGUUUUGGCAACAUGAGUGGUCAUCUUGAGGUUCUGGAUAUGCAACACAACAAUCUUUCUGGAACUCUUCCAACGACUUUUAGAGCUGGAACAUUUAGAAGCUUCAACUUGCAUGGCAAUAAAAUAAAGGGGAAAAUUCCCCAAUCUUUGGCCAAUUGUAAAGAGAUGCAAGUUCUUGAUUUAGGAGAUAAUCACCUCAACGACACAUUCCCGAUGUGGUUGGGAACUCUUCCUAAGUUAAGAGUUUUAAGCCUGAGAUCGAAUAAGUUGCAUGGACCGAUCAGAAAUUUAAGAAGUGAAAACAUUUUUCUUGAGCUUCGAAUGUUGGAUAUCUCUUCCAAUGCCUUCACGGAAAACUUACCGAUCAGUCUGUUUCAACAUUUAAAAGGAAUGAGGACAAUUGAUCAAACGAUGAAUGCACCAAGUGAUGAAGGAGAUGAAUAUUACCAAGACUCAGUAGCUGUCGUAACAAAGGGAUUGGAGCGUGAAGUUGUGAGAAUCUUGUUUUUGUACACUACAAUCGAUU